CAAUAGCGUAUAUUAAAGUUGUUGCGGUUAAAAAAGCUCGUAGUUGGAUUUCUGUCCGAGGCAGCCGGUCCGCACCUGGUGCGUGUAUCUGGUUUGGCUAGGGCAUCCUCUUGGGGAACGUCUCUGUGCUUGAUUGCAUGGGGCGGAAUUCAAGACUUUUACUUUGAGGAAAUUAGAGUGUUCACGGCAAGCUAUCGCUUUGAAUACAUUAGCAUGGAAUAAUAAUAUAGGACCUUUGUUCUAUUUUGUUGGUUUCUAGAGCGAAGGUAAUGAUUAAUAGGGAUAAUUGGGGGGCAUUUGUAUUAACGCGUCAGAGGUGGAAUUCUUGGAUUGCGUUACGACAAACUACUGCGAAAGCAUUUGCCAAGGAUGUUUUCAUUGAUCAAGAACGAAAGUUAGGGGAUCGAAGACGAUUAGAU
RNAcentral lists this ribosomal RNA (419 nucleotides) under uncultured eukaryote. RNAcentral's name for it is "bacterial SSU rRNA". It matches the Rfam family "Eukaryotic small subunit ribosomal RNA", at positions 592 to 1013 of the family's 1831-position model. The record is from RNAcentral.